AAUCUUCCACAAUGGACGGACGUCUGAUGGAGCAACGCCGCGUGAGCGAAGAAGGUUUUCGGAUCGUAAAGCUCUGUUGUACGGGAAGAACACGUACGGAUGUCACUGCCCGUAACUUGACGAUACCUUAUCAGAAAGCCACAGCUAACUACGUGCCAGCAGCCGCGGUAAAACGUAGGUGGCAGUCGUGGUCAGGAAUUAUUGGGCGUAAAGCGCGCGCAGGCGGUCAUUUAAGUCGGAUGUGAAAGCCCACGGAUCAACCGUGGAGGGUCAUUGGAAACUGGAGGACUUGAGUAAAGAAGAGGAAAGCGGAAUUCCACGUGUAGCGGUGAAAUGCGUAGAGAUGUGGAGGAACACCAGUGGCGAAGGCGGCUUUCUGGUCUGUAACUAACGCUGAGGCGCGAAAGCGUGGGGAGCAAACAG
This 423-nucleotide ribosomal RNA is filed under the name uncultured bacterium. Its description in RNAcentral is "partial 16S ribosomal RNA". It matches the Rfam family "Bacterial small subunit ribosomal RNA", at positions 360 to 775 of the family's 1533-position model. The record is from RNAcentral.